This 466-nucleotide ribosomal RNA is filed under the name uncultured bacterium. RNAcentral's name for it is "partial 16S ribosomal RNA". It matches the Rfam family "Bacterial small subunit ribosomal RNA", at positions 339 to 795 of the family's 1533-position model. The record is from RNAcentral.
CUACGGGGUGCUGCAGUCGAGAAUAGUCUACAAUGGGGGAAACCCUGAUAGUGCGACGCCGCGUGAACGAAGAAGCUUUUCGGAGUGUAAAGUUCUUUUCUGUAUGAGCAAUGCUUUAUUGUUUAAGAGAUAAUAGAGAGAGAUAUUAGUACGGGAAUAAGCCACGGCUAACUCCGUGCCAGCAGCCGCGGUAAUACGGGGGUGGCAAGCGUUGUCCGGAAUUACUAGGCGUAAAGGGCAGGUAGGCGGAUAUUCAAGUCAGGCGUUAAAGGCAUCAGCUCAACUGGUGUACGGCGUUUGAAACUGGAUAUCUAGAGUCAGGUAGAGGUAGAUGGAAUUCCUAGUGUAGCGGUGGAAUGCGCAGAGAUUAGGAAGAACACCAAAGGCGAAGGCAAUCUACUGGGCCAUGACUGACGCUAAACUGCGAAGGUGUGGGUAUCAAACAGGAUUAGAUACCCCCGUAGUC